Molecule: transfer RNA, 89 nt
Filed under: Gomphonema parvulum
Lineage: Eukaryota; Bacillariophyta; Bacillariophyceae; Cymbellales; Gomphonemataceae
Description: tRNA-Ser
Rfam family: tRNA
About the family: Transfer RNA (tRNA) molecules are approximately 80 nucleotides in length. Their secondary structure includes four short double-helical elements and three loops (D, anti-codon, and T loops).
Source: RNAcentral
GGAUAAGUGGCUGAGUGGUUUAUAGCGAAGAUCUGCUAAAUCUUUAUAUAAUAAUAAUUAUAUCGUGGGUUCAAAUCCCACCUUUUCCA